GAUGAAGAACGUAGCAAAAUGCGAUAAGUAAUGUGAAUUGCAGAAUUCAGUGAAUCAUCGAAUCUUUGAACGCACAUUGCGCCCGCCAGUAUUCUGGCGGGCAUGCCUGUUCGAGCGUCAUUUCAACCCUCAAGCACAGCUUGGUGUUGGGACUCGCGUUAAUUCGCGUUCCCCAAAUUGAUUGGCGGUCACGUCGAGCUUCCAUAGCGUAGUAGUAAAACCCUCGUUACUGGUAAUCGUCGCGGCCACGCCGUUAAACCCCAACUUCUGAAUGUUGACCUCGGAUCAGGUAGGAAUACCCGCUGAACUUAAGCAUAUCAAUCAGCGGAGGA
This 332-nucleotide unclassified non-coding RNA is filed under the name soil metagenome. RNAcentral describes it as "partial contains 5.8S ribosomal RNA, internal transcribed spacer 2, and large subunit ribosomal RNA". The stretch from base 1 to 120 matches the Rfam family "5.8S ribosomal RNA", at positions 35 to 154 of the family's 154-position model. The record is from RNAcentral.